GACAAGAUGGCCGAGUGGUUAAGGCGUACCGUUCAAGCUGUCACGUGAACACUUGGAAAGUUCCCCUCUUUGGGAGAACUUCCUGAUCCGGUAUGGGGAAACCCGCGUGAGUUCGAGUCUCGCUCUUGUCA
Molecule: transfer RNA, 131 nt
Filed under: Histoplasma capsulatum
Lineage: Eukaryota; Fungi; Ascomycota; Eurotiomycetes; Onygenales; Ajellomycetaceae
Description: tRNA-Leu
Rfam family: tRNA
About the family: Transfer RNA (tRNA) molecules are approximately 80 nucleotides in length. Their secondary structure includes four short double-helical elements and three loops (D, anti-codon, and T loops).
Source: RNAcentral